AACCUUAUGGACCUGCGGGCGUAUACCUGCGGAGGGAUCAUUACCGAGUUUACAACUCCCAAACCCCUGUGAACAUACCUAUACGUUGCCUCGGCGGAUCAGCCCGCGCCCCGUAAAAAGGGACGGCCCGCCCGAGGACCCCUAAACUCUGUUUUUAGUGGAACUUCUGAGUAAAACAAACAAAUAAAUCAAAACUUUUAACAAUGGAUCU
This 211-nucleotide unclassified non-coding RNA is filed under the name soil metagenome. RNAcentral describes it as "partial contains 5.8S ribosomal RNA, internal transcribed spacer 2, and large subunit ribosomal RNA". The record is from RNAcentral.